Molecule: ribosomal RNA, 425 nt
Filed under: uncultured bacterium
Lineage: Bacteria
Description: partial 16S ribosomal RNA
Rfam family: Bacterial small subunit ribosomal RNA
Source: RNAcentral
GUGGGGAAUAUUGGGCAAUGGGCGAAAGCCUGACCCAGCAACGCCGCGUGAAGGAAGAAGGUUUUCGGAUCGUAAACUUCUAUCCUUGGUGAAGAUAAUGACGGUAGCCAAGAAGGAAGCCCCGGCUAACUACGUGCCAGCAGCCGCGGUAAUACGUAGGGGGCAAGCGUUGUCCGGAAUGAUUGGGCGUAAAGGGCGCGUAGGCGGCCCGGUAAGUCUGAAGUGAAAGUCCUGCUUUUAAAGUGGGAAUUGCUUUGGAUACUGUCGGGCUUGAGUGCAGGAGAGGUAAGCGGAAUUCCGGGUGGAGCGGUGAAAUGCGUAGAGAUCGGGAGGAACACCAGUGGCGAAGGCGGCUUACUGGACUGUAACUGACGCUGAGGCGCGAAAGUGUGGGGAGCAAACAGGAUUAGAUACCCGAGUAGUCC